GCAAGAUUAAAACUCAAAGGAAUUGACGGGGACCCGCACAAGCGGUGGAUGAUGUGGAUUAAUUCGAUGCAACGCGAAAAACCUUACCUACCCUUGACAUGUACAGAAUCCCGAAGAGAUUUGGGAGUGUUCGAAAGAAAGCUGUAACACAGGUGCUGCAUGGCUGUCGUCAGCUCGUGUCGUGAGAUGUUGGGUUAAGUCCCGCAACGAGCGCAACCCUUGUCAUUAGUUGCUACGAAAGGGCACUCUAAUGAGACUGCCGGUGACAAACCGGAGGAAGGUGGGGAUGACGUCAAGUCCUCAUGGCCCUUAUGGGUAGGGCUUCACACGUCAUACAAUGGUACAUACAGAGGGCCGCCAACCCGUGAGGGGGAGCUAAUCCCAGAAAGUGUAUCGUAGUCCGGAUUGUAGUCUGCAACUCGACUACAUGAAGUUGGAAUCGCUAGUAAUCGCGGAUCAGC
Molecule: ribosomal RNA, 461 nt
Filed under: Collimonas sp. wged96
Lineage: Bacteria; Pseudomonadati; Pseudomonadota; Betaproteobacteria; Burkholderiales; Oxalobacteraceae
Description: bacterial SSU rRNA
Rfam family: Bacterial small subunit ribosomal RNA
Source: RNAcentral